Long non-coding RNA from Dromaius novaehollandiae (emu), 2827 nucleotides. RefSeq lists it as uncharacterized. Lineage: Eukaryota; Metazoa; Chordata; Aves; Casuariiformes; Dromaiidae. The record is from RefSeq and is a predicted model, not a curated record. The transcript is spliced from 4 exons.
GCGGAGGCCCGCUCCGCCUCCUGCCGGGCCCGCUCCGCCUGCAGCGGGGAGGGAGGCGGUGGGAGGGGAGGCAGAAUGAAUGGGGAGCGGGAGGGAGAGGAAGAUGGAGGAGGAAGGGGCGGGGGGGGGGGGAAGACAGAGAGAGCAGCGUUAGCGCCGGCCGGCGAGCGGCCCCCGCGCCGCUUCCCGCCCCACCUGCGCUCUGCCCUCCGCGGCGAGGGACGCGGAGCAGCUCCACCCCGCGCCCUGGGAACGCCAGAAAAAUAAUAAAUAAACGCGCAAGCCCGGGCUGCGCGGCAGCAGCAGAGCCCUGGAGGCGGCUGAAAGCGCCCGGGCUGCGCGGCAGCAGCAGAGCCCUGGAGGCGGCUGAAAGCGCCCGAUAAAUAAUUCAAAUGACCCGAGUUGCCCUGGAAAAGAAAGAGGAGAAAAAAGAAAAAAAGAAAAAAAAAAGGGAAAGAGGCGCUGGGUCCGUGCUGGAGGGGGGCAGCAGGCGGGGAGCCCUGCAGCGAGUGCUGGGGGCACCUGCGAGACCCCCGAGGGCUAACAGCCGCCAUGUGUUUCAAUUGCAGCCUCCUCGCCGGCAGCCAGGGCCGAGAGACCGCCGCCGCCGCCGGUGCCAGGCCGCGGCCUUGCCCAGGGCCUGCCCUCCCGGAGGGGGAAGGAUGUCAAAGUCCCAUUUCCAGUGUCAUCGCAUUCAAAUCCUACGGUGGCCUGUGCACAACACACACUCUACAAUUCCAAAGGCCCGGAGAUUAGGAUGCCAAGAUUCACCGUGUGAGUAUGUUUUGCCAUUUGAAACACAUACUACAAAAGAAGAGAAAAGGAAGAAAAAGUACAACUGGAAAAGCUUUGCCUUGAUUCCAACUCUGCCGACACCGAUGUCCCUGACUAAUUUCAGCAGAACAGUGAAGGUGGCUGAUUCUAGUUUUUGACUAGCUCCUCUCCAGUGCACACAUUUCAGUUGUGCAUCAUUACCUGGCUUAUAAAACUCACUCCUUCUUCCCCUUCCUGAUCUCAGUCCACAUACAGGACACAGCUGCUAAACUGGCUCUGGCUUCUAGAAUUAAAUAUGCACCCGACAGCAUCAUGACAUUUGCCACCGAGCCAUCUGCACAACUUUUCUCACCAUUAGCUGAACACUGCCUUUGCAGGGAGAGCCAUGCUAUCAGCUGAAUGGAUUAGUGCCACCUGGGACUUUUAUUGCUUUCACAUGGGACUGCCUGCUACACAGCACACAGAGCACAGCAGGAGAAUUUUGAAAACUGAUUUAUUUUUUUGUGGAGAUAUAUAUGUCUAUAGGUAUGUAGAGAUGUUUGUUUUUUGGAAUUAUAAGAAAACAUUAACAUGAAAAGAUGCAUAUGGGAAUGAAAUUUCAUUCCAACUGCAUCUAAGCAUCUCAAAAUUUUCAUUCAUCAGUGCCUCUGAGAGAGAGAGAAAUACAGCUGGCAAAAUAAGAGUGAAAAAAAUCCAUACCUGGUGGAAGCCAGUUUGGGUCACCCUGCAGCUGAUGGGAAUUAUAUCAUUUUACACCAUGUCUGCAUUUGCCCUAUAAACCUUACUUCUUUCUUUUUAAAUAUUUUAUAAACACAAAGAAAAAUGCAAACUAAUCCUAACAAGGUGAAAGAAAGGGCACUGCCUGAUUUCUAAAAGUAACUAAAGUGAAGCUGGGGUAUGUUGUAAAUAUUUCCAAUUCUUCUAAUAUGCCAUCAUUUUUAUUAAUGCUUUUAUUUGUAAAAUAUGUUCCUAUUUUGCCUGUAACUUUCAAAAGCAAUUUAAUUUUUAUCUGUAAUCUGAAAUUUACAUCUAACUGGUAACAGAUGUGACCAACUGGCUUAUACUUUACUGAGUUACUGAGAUUUAUGGUGGGUGUUCUUUGUAAUGUAUUGUCUUUCAUGGGGUUAUGCUAUCAUUUGGUUUAUAAUUUGCUACUUUUUAACUCUUUCCUAAGACCUGCUUUUAUUUUAAAAGUGGAAAACAGUUUUGUUUCUCACAUAAAAGCAAAUUAAAUGUUAUCUGUAUACUCAGAACAUGAGAGAAAACAAGUAUAAAUGAGAUAGAACUGGUAAGUAGUUAGCUGCUCAGCAGGCUUAUUACAUGCUUAAAUAAUGUAUUAUUGGUUAUGUUUAUGCUUAUAUAGAUUUUUUCCCCAAUUAGAGUUUUCUUGAUCCUUUAUGGACAUAUAUGCUCUAUGAUUUCUCCCUGACAAAGGAAGGGGUAACACUUGAUAUUGCGUAACUAUAUAUUCUCGCUGUUUUAAAGAUAUGUUAAACAAAGAACAAUUAACAAAGUACUCUGAGGUAGCAGAUGAAGUCUCCAGUAGAAGCCAAAACACAGCACACAUUCCAGUUCCCAGAAGCCCUGUUUUCAGUGCUCUUUAUGUUCAGAAUUAUAAAUCUGUAUCCAUGUAACUGCACAGUAUUUGCAUGUCAGGAGAAUUGUUGUUUGUUUACUUUUUAGCUUGUUGAAAUGUGUCUCGAGGGGCAUGUGCCUUAAUUAAUAAAAUACUUGUUAAUUGCACAAGAACAAAAGAAAAGACACGGUCAGCAUUCUGGUUUCCGUCACGGGGACCUCUCAGACACUCUCCGGGCAGUGACUGUCUGAAGCUUUGGCUGUUACUAUAUGGCAUCCAGAAAUAUGCUGUUCGUCUGUAUGCUUUUUAUUUGCUGAGACAAAUCAGUUAGAAAUUGCUUUGAUGAUGUCUUCAUGUGUGAAUUACAUGUCAAAGAUAUUGCACUGCCUGGAGAUUCCUGCUCCUAGAUUCAGCAUAAAACACUGGCAUGAUCUGAAUGUUUUUUCAUGGUUGUUCAGGUGGAUAAUAAAGAUCCUA